This is a long non-coding RNA of Glossina fuscipes, 821 nucleotides long. RefSeq lists it as uncharacterized. The transcript has 2 exons. The record is from RefSeq and is a predicted model, not a curated record. NCBI's taxonomy places the organism in Eukaryota, Metazoa, Arthropoda, Insecta, Diptera, Glossinidae.
CUCAAAAAAGUGAAAAAAGGAAAUUUAAUUUUUUAAACUUGUAGCUUUGUGUGGACAAAUCCUAGUUUUUUCGUUUUUACGCAUAGACAAUUAAGUUUUUCGCAAAGUAAAUGUGUAAAAACCCACAAAUUUUUGUGUAGAAAAACGGAAUCUCAUUUAGUUGUGCUUGUGCUUUGACCAAUUUAGCCCAUUUUCAGCGCCAACCUUUGUGUAAAAACUUCGAAUAUUUAUACCAAGUUUGAUGUCGAGGCACAGAGGGGCAGACUUGGCCUAAUCAAUUAAGAAUUUCAUGCUAAUCAAGAAUAGAUAUAUAUUUUAUUGGAUUUCUGGAGCUUCUUUUUGGGUGUUGCCAACAUUAUGAGUAAAUGAGUGCACCGUUUAUCUUGGAGUUUUGGGUAUAACAAACAUGGUGUACUAAACAAAUAACGUUAGUCAAAAUGAAUAGAACGAAUGAGGACAUAUGUGACAGUGCCGUUAAACAUUGGUGAAUGCGUGGCAAAGCACUUCAUUUAACUCUGCAACAGAGUACUCGUUUAAGAGUAUGGCGCUAUGUGAGUGGCACUACACUUUUCUGAGCCAAGCUUCUAAGAAGCAACUUGUGUCGUAACUUAGAUUUUGAACGAUUCCAAUUCGGAUAGAUAGUCAGUCAACUGACUCACCAUAAAAUUCCUGUGCGAAAUAGAGGUGCAAAUGCUAAAAAUGCAGUAAUCAAUCGUGCAUCGAAGAACGAACCAAGAAUAGCCAAAAGUGCGGAAAGUAACCAGAGGACAUCGAGAAUACAUCGCCUAAUGGACCCCAAGUAUAAACUAAGGAAUACAGCG